CAGAGGUCCCAAGCGUUGUUCGGAUUCACUGGGCGUAAAGGGUGCGUAGGCGGUCGGGUAAGUCUGAUGUGAAAUCUCUGGGCUCAACCCAGAAAUGGCAUUGGAUACUAUUCGGCUUGAGGUCUGGAGGGGGGACUGGAAUUCUCGGUGUAGCAGUGGAAUGCGUAGAUAUCGAGAGGAACACCAGUGGCGAAGGCGAGUCCCUGGACAGGUCCUGACGCUGAGGCACGAAAGCUAGGGGAGCAAACAGGAUUAGAUACCCUGGUAGUCCUAGCCGUAAACGGUGCUUAUUUGCUGUAAAAGGAAUCGACCCCUUUUGUGGCGUAGCAAACGCGUUAAAUAAGCCGCCUGGGAAGUACGGUCGCAAGAUUA
RNAcentral lists this ribosomal RNA (372 nucleotides) under uncultured organism. RNAcentral describes it as "bacterial SSU rRNA". It matches the Rfam family "Bacterial small subunit ribosomal RNA", at positions 526 to 896 of the family's 1533-position model. The record is from RNAcentral.